Non-coding RNA from Pelobates cultripes (western spadefoot toad), 217 nucleotides. NCBI's taxonomy places the organism in Eukaryota, Metazoa, Chordata, Amphibia, Anura, Pelobatidae. The record is from the annotation of a GenBank genome assembly.
CUGUAAUUGUAAGUAUGAGAAGUAAGCUUUGGGAGGGAGGUUAUACUGUUUGGUUAGAGAACUAAAGUCCAGUAGGCGACCAUCCCUCAUUAAGUGUGAUAGGCGUGUGGCACCAUGUUUACACCAUAGGCCAUGGUCAAACCCCGGAAUGAGGAGUUGGAACACUGGAAUUUGUAGUGCUGGGGAUAUAUAUGAGGCGGGAUAGUGUGUCUUGGUG